This 2704-nucleotide long non-coding RNA is filed under the name Cicer arietinum (chickpea). RNAcentral describes it as "long non-coding RNA (CARI_LNC000943)". The record is from RNAcentral. Lineage: Eukaryota; Viridiplantae; Streptophyta; Magnoliopsida; Fabales; Fabaceae.
UUAUUUUUAAUUCAUAUAGAGAACAACUAAUUAAAAAAUAUUGGAAAAAAAUAUUUUAAAGGAAUUAAUUUCUCAAUUAUGUAUGAAAAAUUAAUUAUCUGCCCUAUGAAAAUUUUAAGUGGAACCAAAAUCUCAUUCCUUAACAUCUUUAUCUUUCUCUUCUGACCAAAGCAUCGUCUUUUCUCUGUUGACAACACUUCAUUCUUUCUCUUUCCAAAAUAAGACUAAUCUUCUCCUCUCUCACAAUCUUCCUCACACCGCAUCAGGAUUUUCUUUAUGUUUAUGCGAGUAUUUCCAUUAUAGGGUUUUUAUUUUUCAUCAAUCGGUAACAACCAGUGGCAACAUUUCCACACCAAUUAUUACCUAAUAGUUGCAGUUACCUGUUUUUUAACUUUGCUUGUUGUCUUUGAUUAUUGCAUUUGAAUUGUUCAUGGAAAAUUGCUUCUAAAUGGCCUUAAUUUGGGAUCUAGUUGAGUGGUAAACCAUGUAAACACAUCUUUGGUGAAGGAACUUGGAAAAUAUUUCCUUUUCCAAUAUUCACCAUUAGCUAAAUUCCCAUAUUCAAUCUCAUAUCUAGCAAUAUGUUCAAGGCUUGGUGUGUUGCGUUAUUGUUUUCUAUGACCAGAUUAAACAUAGUGGCGAUUUUAUAGGUAAUCAUUAUCAUUCAUUUGUUGUUCGAAAGACUGCAAAAUGGUAUUUGUAACUGGAGACAUAAUUCAAUUUUCCAUUCUUGCUCAUUCUUAUAUGAUUUCAAAUACCAUAUUCUCCCAUUGCAUAUGACCCUGAAAUAGUGUUGUUGGCCACGUUUGAGGAAGGAAAUGCAAUUUGAGAGGGAGGAAUGAACCCUAGUGGAAGACAACAUGGGUGUAUUGAAUAACUUGGCCUUCAACUUGGUGAAUUCAAAGGUGGCGGAUUUGUGCUAAUUUGUCUCAACUACCCUUUCUCGUAUUUCCACCUUCACGUCCCACUGGCCGUGCCAAUUUUUUGACCAUGAAUUUUAACCACUUCAAUAAAUGAAUUCGAGGAACAAUAUAGAAUUUAAAUUAAAUCCUUAAUUGUUUGAAGUUGAUAGAUUUAUGUAACCAAUCCAAGUUUUUAUGCAAAGUAGAGUAACCAAUACAAAAGUAUAAACAAGAUCAAUCAAAUUUUAAAGAAAAUAUAACUUUAUUAAUAAGAAAAGUGAACAUACAUCAUCAUUUGAAAAGUAAGAAAAACAGAAAAUCUAAGUAAGGUAGAUGUGUGCGCAUUAUACAUACAAUUUUUUAAAUGAAAAAUACCUAAUACUGAAAAAUGACCCUCCUAUUUAUAGGCUAGAACUUAGAAUGGCUAAUCUUUAUUUUCAUGACACAUGUUAUAUUCUUGUUAACUUUCCUAACUACCUAAUGGCUUCCUUUCUAAGCCUUAUUUUCCAAUCUUCUAAGUACUUAUCUUCGAAGACUAGACAUGAAAACAAAACUCAUACUUAUACCCAUUCGAACUAGCCCUAAUUUGAUGUGAAAAAUCCACUUUGACUGAGUUUGGAUUCGAGAUGUCCUCGAUUUUAACAGACUAGGUGGGGCGGGUAAUGAUGACAAUGAUACUCGCCUCGUUUUUAUGGAAAUUACAUAAUUACCUCUCUUAAAUUAGAAAUUCUCAAAUAAAAUCCUAAGUUAGAAAACCUCUUUGUUUAAACCCUAAUGAAACCGUGAUAGUUAUAAUGACUAUACCUUUCUUUUGCUUCAUGCUUUUUUUAAUUUUGUUAAAAAAUAGACAUAAAAUAUUAUUGAAUUAGUGUUAAUGUUAGUUUCUAGGUUUUCAAUUCUAGAAAAACUAUUUUAAACUUUAGUAUCUGUAGCUCACAAAUUGAGAUACCUUCAUGGAACUAUAAUAUUUUUUUAUUACUUUAUUAGUUCAUUAUUUUAUUACUAUAAUAUUUUAUUAGUUCAUAAAAUAUUACCCUAACGUAGUAAUAUAAUUGGUUUUUUAAUUUAUAGAGUAAAACUACAUCAUCUAAUAAUGAUAAUACAUGAUUAAAAUAUGUUUUCAAUUUCAAAAUAUGUGAUAUAUUAUUUAUACAGUAUUUAAAAUUCAUGCAAGGAAAAUAUUGAAUAAUUUAGGAAAUUGUAACUAGUGAAAUUACAAUAUUGAAACGAAAAUGAAAGUACUACAUUAAGACAUAAUUAAAUAAAUAAAGUAUUUAUUUAUUUAUUUAAAGAAAAAUACAGCAUGUUUUGUCAAAAUCAAUACAUCUAAAGCACGUUUUGAUCUAAACACACUUACUUUAAACAGUAGAGCAAAAUAUGGCACAUUAUUCAUUGGUAUAUAAGGGGUUUAUUGGGUGAAACCAUAUUGUGAUAGGGUAGUAGCUGAGUUGUAUAGGAGUGGCAGUAUUUUUAUGAAGAGACUUCGAAAGUGGUUUUUUGGUGAUCGAGUGGUGGAUCUUCUAUGGGAGGUUUGAGGGGUUCGGGAUUUCCUGGAUCGGGAUUUCGUGGAUCCUCUACGGGCUCCCCGUGGGGUGGUGGCUCUAAAAUGGGUAUAAUCAUUGGUUGGGAAUCUAACUGUGGAGUGAUGAGCAUCACCACUCCAAGUACAAGUAACACUGAUGAGUAUAUAGAUGCCAUGUAUAAACUUUUUAUAAUCACAUAUGGAAAAGAAAAAACAAUCUUUAUAUAUAUAGGAAAAAACAUGGGACUAUUUUCUAGGUGCACACUCGGAUAUCUCAUGA